UACGGAGGGGGCGAGCGUUAUUCGGAAUUAUUGGGCGUAAAGGGCGCGUAGGCGGCCCGGUAAGUCAAAGGUGAAAUCCCUCGGCUCAACUGAGGAACUGCCUUUGAAACUGUCGGGCUUGAGGCCGGGAGGGGGUAGCGGAAUUCCCAGUGUAGCGGUGAAAUGCGUAGAUAUCGGGAGGAACAUCAGUGGCGAAGGCGGCCUUCUGGUCCAGUACUGACACUCAAGUGCGAAAGCGUGGGGAGCAAACAGG
RNAcentral lists this ribosomal RNA (253 nucleotides) under uncultured bacterium. RNAcentral describes it as "partial 16S ribosomal RNA". It matches the Rfam family "Bacterial small subunit ribosomal RNA", at positions 524 to 776 of the family's 1533-position model. The record is from RNAcentral.